GACGAACGCUGGCGGCGUGCUUAACACAUGCAAGUCGAACGGAAAGGCCCUUCGGGGUACUCGAGUGGCGAACGGGUGAGUAACACGUGGGUGAUCUGCCCUGCACUUUGGGAUAAGCCUGGGACACUGGGUCUAAUACCGAAUAUGAUCAUCGGCUUCAUGGUCGGUGGUGGAAAGCUUUUGCGGUGUGGGAUGGGCCCGCGGCCUAUCAGCUUGUUGGUGGGGUAAUGGCCUACCAAGGCGACGACGGGUAGCCGGCCUGAGAGGGUGACCGGCCACACUGGGACUGAGAUACGGCACAGACUCCUACGGGAGGCAGCAGUGGGGAAUAUUGCACAAUGGGCGCAAGCCUGAUGCAGCGACGCCGCGUGAGGGAUGACGGCCUUCGGGUUGUAAACCUCUUUCAGCACAGACGAAGCGCAAGUGACGGUAUGUGCAGAAGAAGGACCGGCCAACUACGUG
Molecule: ribosomal RNA, 462 nt
Filed under: uncultured bacterium
Lineage: Bacteria
Description: partial 16S ribosomal RNA
Rfam family: Bacterial small subunit ribosomal RNA
Source: RNAcentral